GACGGUGUGAGAGCGGUAAGAUGGCGGCGGCGGCGGUGGUGGAGUUCCAGAGAGCCCAGUCUCUACUCAGCACCGACCGGGAGGCCUCCAUCGACAUCCUCCACUCCAUCGUGAAGCGUGACAUUCAGGAAAACGAUGAAGAGGCAGUGCAAGUCAAAGAGCAGAGCAUCCUGGAACUGGGAUCUCUCCUGGCAAAGACUGGACAAGCUGCAGAGCUUGGAGGACUCCUGAAGUAUGUACGACCCUUCUUGAAUUCCAUCAGCAAGGCUAAAGCAGCUCGCCUGGUCCGAUCUCUUCUUGAUCUGUUUCUUGAUAUGGAAGCAGCUACAGGGCAGGAGGUCGAGCUGUGUUUAGAGUGCAUCGAAUGGGCCAAGUCAGAGAAAAGAACUUUCUUACGCCAAGCUUUGGAGGCAAGACUGGUGUCUUUGUACUUUGAUACCAAGAGGUACCAGGAAGCAUUGCAUUUGGGUUCUCAGCUGCUGCGGGAGUUGAAAAAGAUGGACGACAAAGCACUUUUGGUGGAAGUACAGCUUUUAGAAAGCAAAACAUACCAUGCCCUGAGCAACCUGCCGAAAGCCCGAGCUGCCUUAACCUCUGCUCGAACCACAGCAAAUGCCAUCUACUGCCCCCCUAAAUUGCAGGCCACCUUGGACAUGCAGUCGGGUAUUAUCCAUGCAGCAGAAGAGAAGGACUGGAAAACUGCGUACUCAUACUUCUAUGAGGCAUUUGAGGGUUAUGACUCCAUCGACAGCCCCAAGGCCAUCACAUCUCUGAAGUACAUGUUGCUGUGCAAAAUCAUGCUCAACACCCCAGAAGAUGUCCAGGCUUUGGUGAGCGGGAAGCUUGCACUUCGGUAUGCAGGGAGGCAGACAGAAGCAUUAAAAUGCGUGGCUCAGGCUAGCAAGAACAGAUCACUGGCAGAUUUUGAAAAAGUGAGUAUGAUAUUGGGUUGGUAUGGAAUGUGGGUGGAAGAGAGGGACAUUUAAGUACUUCAAAACACACUUUUAAAAAUAAUUAUAGUUUCAAAAGAAGUUGCAAAUGAUUCCAUGUAUCCUUCACCUAGGACAGUAUUAAAACCAGGAAAUAGUUAAGCACUUUUGUACAAUGAAACUUACUGAGUUGAUAUAAAAUAUAUAUUAUUUAUACAUAAUACCUUUCUAUUUCAAAAGUUCUUUCUGU
This 1179-nucleotide small RNA is filed under the name Pongo abelii (Sumatran orangutan). RNAcentral's name for it is "retained intron". The record is from RNAcentral. Lineage: Eukaryota; Metazoa; Chordata; Mammalia; Primates; Hominidae.